CAGAAUUGAAUGGUUUAAAGCAGCUCCCAUCUUCUUUUCCCCACUUCCUUCUUCCUGAAUUUUUCCCCUCACUCUCUUAUCUCAUCUUUUCCCCACUUGCUUGCUUCCUGAAAUUUUCCUUUUCCCUCUCUCCUUCCUGCGUCGCCGCCGGUCACCUGAGUCGCCUCGGUGUACUUCCCUUCCAGCUUAUUGUGGGGAAACCUUGAAGGGCUCCCUGGGGUCAGAUCCGUUUGCUCAUGGAUCGGAGGUGUGCGGCACUGGGGAUAUUGAUGUGCGACGAACCGUCGUCGGUAUCGGAGGACCUUCGGCACAGCAAGGGUCCUUUGACGAAGCAUCUCGUUUGCUGUCCAUGAUUGGAGCAGUGGCUCAUGGUUUCAGGUAAAUAGGAAUAUUCAUGCAUAUCAUUCGUUUUUGUCUCUUAUGCAAAAUAUAAAGUUCUCUUCUUGCUUGUUGGCUGUUUGAUUUGAUUAGCAGUGUGAAGCUGGCAGUCUUCCGUUGGGGAUAUCAUUAGGAUUGAUUCAUUUGUCUCUUUUAUUGAAGGAAAAGUGUACUGCUCUUUGACGCACUCCAUCAAAAAUAUUUUACAUCAAGAAGUUUAUCUUCUCAAUCUUUGCUGGGGGAAACAUUUGAAGAUAUAUGGCUAUUUGAGAUUUUUGCUAAUUGAUUUUUUAUGCUUCAAAUAUUUUUAUUGGUUGACUGAGAUGAAUUUUUAUUAGAUUAGUAGAUAUAUAUGGAUAUUAAAAAUAUACUAUUUCAGAACAGUAUCAAGACAAAUAGAACAUUUCCUUAAAUAAAUUGAUAUUAGAUAAUGUGAACCUACCAGCACCCUAUCUUAAGCUCGAUAUACGUUUGAGAGGACUUUCUUAUCAAAUGGGUCUUAUUGAAUAACAUUUGUGCAUCUAUAAACUUGAAUAACACUGGUACAAUUAGAGGAUUUUAAAUACUGUGGGUAUAUGUCAGAGGACUUUUUACAUAGACUGUCUUUCGAGCUCACCGUUUCUGCUUGCAGUAAACCUUAAAAAUAUUAAGUCAAUUAGAAAAUCUCCUUGUAUACAAUGUUUCUAGCGACAUUUUCUUCGGGACAAUCUGAAUCAUCAAUCAGAACCUUCAGGCCAUUUCGGUUUGUGACUCUAGAGAAUGCUACCGCCCUGUUUGGGGGAGCUUCUCCCAGCUGCAGCUUUUCCCAAAAGCUGCUUCUGCUAGAAGCUGCCUCAAACAGUCCACAGCUUCUGAGAAUCUGCAGUUAUAGAUUCUGAAAAAUGAACUAAGAAGCCAGAAGCUGGGUUUCAGAGCUUUUCCAGAUUCUCAAAAGCUGGCUACCAAACAGCUGCUUCUCGGAAUCUAAAGCUCCCCAAACAGGCCCCCAUGGCAGAAGACUUGUUUAGGACAAAUGGCCAGUUGGUGUCGCUCGGUGACAUGAUGAUUGUAUGUAUACCUUGUCGUCCACAUGUGUACCUGUUAUGAUCUGUGCUUCGAUGUAUUUCUUACCUAACUGUGUGAUUGUCAUUCUCGUGCCGUUGCAUAGGCCUGCAGUUUGGUUGAUGUUACGAAGUAGCAUGACAGGCAGGCCUACUUUAAGCUUAAGUUCGUGGUUUGGUAUUCCAGGGAAUUUCAACGUGUUGAGGAACUCGGUAGGAUACAUGUGCUCCAUGCUACUGUUGUUUGUCAUCGCUUUGCAAACGGUGUCACAGCUUAGCAAAAUGUAAGGUGGAGGCGGUGCAGUGGUUGGGUCACGGAUCGGCCAGGGUGGCGAGCCUGGGGGAAUCGGCGGGCAGGCAAAGGUUGGUUGACGCUGUUUUUCUUUUCAAUUCCUUUGCAUGAAUUAUAUGUUUGGAUGCUUCAUGUGCAAUCGGUUGCAAAAUUAGGUCUGUAUAUACAGAGAUGUGAUAAAAAAUCAUAAAUAAAAUAACAGAUUGCAUAGUAAUAUAUCUCAGUUUAUGCAUAUACAACAUUCGACUAUUAUAAUACAGUACAUGUAAUGAUCUGUAUUGACUAUGAACUAUUCUUUCUAGCUAGUAUCAUUAACUGUAGGAUAUUCUAUCGAGCUACUGCUAAUUAUGAACUAUUAUCAUGAGCUCUAAGCACUAUUUGUAUACUUAGAAUUCAUUUUCCUUGUUCUCUGAGGCCUUGUGUUGCAUGCUUUAUUGUCUGAUUGAACACAUGUUUUCUGACGUUUUUCAACAGAGCUUUCCUUGCCUAUGCCAUUGAUGGUUUUAGCCUAUCUUUUUCCUGCCUUGAUGGAUUCUUCAACAACUGAUUUGUUUAUUUCAUGGCUGUAGGUGUCAUUUCUGAUUUCCGCCUUUGUGGAUUUUGCAUGAGCGCCUUUUGCAUUUUUGCCUCGAACUUUUGCAUCUACGCAUUUUAUCAUACUUGUUUCAUUGCUCUCCUCUUCUGAAUCGUCUUCUAUUAUGUAUGACCUCCGUCUUAUUUGUUUGCAACUGGGAGGUUUGUCAGACGAAGUGAGUUCAUCUUCACUCGUGAUUUCCUGGUCACUAUCCUCUAGCUCUUGCUUCACGGGUAGCAGUGAGAUGGAUCUGUUUUUAAUAAGAGGGCCGCUGCUGGUUUGUUCCUGCAAAGGCAAUGAAGUAUUUGUCAUAUGUGCUAUAUAUUAUAAAUAAAUGAAAAUUUGUAUUAUAUGUUCAAAUACC
This is a non-coding RNA of Oryza sativa Japonica Group (Japanese rice), 2648 nucleotides long. NCBI's taxonomy places the organism in Eukaryota, Viridiplantae, Streptophyta, Magnoliopsida, Poales, Poaceae. The record is from RefSeq and is a predicted model, not a curated record.